This 1860-nucleotide unclassified non-coding RNA is filed under the name Orussus abietinus. Its description in RNAcentral is "protein ALP1-like, transcript variant X1". The record is from RNAcentral. Lineage: Eukaryota; Metazoa; Arthropoda; Insecta; Hymenoptera; Orussidae.
UUCUGAUAUCAAGAAUGGAAAAUGUUGUGAAUGGUUAUUUGACGAUUGUUCAAGAAAUUGAUAAUGGUUUAGCGAAAGCGUCCAAGCAAUUUACAGCAACGAUGAUUGGAUCGGAGAAGAUUCGACGGAACACGCAGAAGCACUCUGCAAGGGCAGCUGCGAUGCUUUUGCAAAAGCAAAGACAACUGAAACAGAAACAAAGCAAUGGUAGAUCUGUGAAGAUAAUGCCACCGUUGUCCGUAGAAAAUUGGUGGGAAAUAUUUGUUCAAGAACGUUACCCAGAUGAGAGGUGCAUCGAGUGUUUCAAGUGUUCACGUAAAACUUAUAUAUAUCUUACUAAGAUUCUGCGUCCACAUAUAAGGCCAAAGGUUGGAGUGAUUCCACAAUUGGCUGCACUCAACAUGUUGAAAGGGGUUAGCGUGGAGAAGCAAGUUGCCGUUAUGCUUUUUAAGAUGGCAAGGAACUCCGAUUAUGCAGUGGUUUCGGGCAUGUUUGGUAUCCACAAAUCGACGGUGCAUAAGGUUUUCCACAAAGCUAUUAAAGGCAUAAACACCCACGUUUUAAGGAAAAUCAUUAAUAUGCCGAAAGAAGAAGAGCUACAAAAAAUAACGCAAGAGUUUGAGCAGAGACAUAGAAUUCCUCAAAUUAUCGGGACUAUCGAUUCGAUCCAUAUACCUAUUUGUCCACCUGCAGCAAUGGUAGAUAAAUUUACCAAUUCCAAGCAGUAUUCGUCAUUUGUUCUACAAGCAGUAGUAGAUUCAACGUCCUGUUUUCGAGAUAUUAGCAUAAGGCAUCCUGGCAGUAUUGACGACUCUCUCGUUUUAGAAGAUUCAAAUAUCUUCAAAUUUGCGGAUCGUGUAAUACCACCGACAACCAGAAACGUGAACGGUGUGGAUGUUCCAUAUAAGAUCAUAGGAUCUAUAAAUUACCCUCUACUAUGGUGGCUUUUAACGGGGUACGACAUACCGACGACUCAAAGUGAACUGCUGUUCAAUGAGUACAUGCAGAAGAUAAAUGACUACGUGCAAGUGGCUUUCGAUCGGUUAAGAGCUAGAUUUAUAAUUCUCAGUCAGUCAAUUGACGUUAGUUUUAAAUUAGCGCCACAAAUUAUAGCUGCGUGCUGUGCAGUUCAUAACAUCUGUGAAAGGCACGAAGACCUUUUUAUAGAGGACUGGUUAAACGAGGCCAAAUUAUUUGCUGAAAAAUUCCCUCAGCCAGACAGAGAAAAAGAGAUAAAAGACUUCGAAUCUCCUAUCAUGGCACACCGUGACGCGUUAAAAGACUAUUUUGAAACGCAACUCCUUCUAGAGAAUGCAUCGUAUGGGUACGUCGAUAACGAGAACAUUGACUUAUUAACCGAGCAAAUCGAGUAACUUACUCCGUAUGGUGAAAUAUGAAAUAUUUCAAGCUGUGCAAAGCGGUGCAGUCUCGUUUAUUAUUUUAACUUAUAAAAAUCCUAAUUUACUGUUACCUAAAUUUUAAUUCUCUACUCUUAACCUCGUACAUAGCUAAGAGACCUAGAAUUACAAUCGACAUAACCGAGAUCCAGAAAACGUGUUAGCGGUUUUUAAUUCCUUCGGCUCACGUCGAAACAAUGUAAAUACUUAAAAGUAAUUUAUACAAGGGCAUCAUCCAUCUUCAUUAACUCUGCAAUAAAAGAAACGCAUCCAAGUGACACCCUGCAAGGAUUUUGUGCACCAUGAUGUACGAACCACAGUGUUGCAAGUGACCGUUGGUGUAAAGUGUCAUAAAAAAUAUAAAGUGAGCCUCGGGUGGUGCUUUAAUGGGCUUCGGUGGCCGUUGCCGCGAAAAUCCCGAGAGUGUAUCUGUACCUGCCUCGUUAACGUCACUAUCUCGCAG